RNAcentral lists this ribosomal RNA (497 nucleotides) under uncultured bacterium. RNAcentral describes it as "partial 16S ribosomal RNA". It matches the Rfam family "Bacterial small subunit ribosomal RNA", at positions 28 to 507 of the family's 1533-position model. The record is from RNAcentral.
GAUGAACGCUGGCGGCGUGCCUAAUACAUGCAAGUCGAGCGAACGGACGAGAAGCUUGCUUCUCUGAUGUUAGCGGCGGACGGGUGAGUAACACGUGGAUAGCCUACCUAUAAGACUGGGAUAACUUCGGGAAACCGGAGCUAAUACCGGAUAAUAUUUUGAACCGCAUGGUUCAAAAGUGAAAGACGGUCUUGGUGUCACUUAUAGAUGGAUCCGCGCUGCAUUAGCUAGUUGGUAAGGUAACGGCUUACCAAGGCAACGAUGCAUAGCCGACCUGAGAGGGUGAUCGGCCACACUGGAACUGAGACACGGUCCAGACUCCUACGGGAGGCAGCAGUAGGGAAUCUUCCGCAAUGGGCGAAAGCCUGACGGAGCAACGCCGCGUGAGUGAUGAAGGUCUUCGGAUCGUAAAACUCUGUUAUUAGGGAAGAACAUAUGUGUAAGUAACUGUGCACAUCUUGACGGUACCUAAUCAGAAAGCCACGGCUAACUACGUG